AUGGACGCGGUGCGAGGAAGCGGUGCGACGCCGGCGGACCAGACAGUCCAGACGACAGUCUCGGCGGCCGCCGCGCUGCUCAACGCGCUUGCCAGGGAGUUCGUGCCCAUGGGCGCCGCCGCCGACGUGCUGAACCCACUCGCCAAGGAGUCUUUGCCCGUGGGCGCUGCCGCCGCGCUUAACCCGCUCGCCAGGGAGUUCGUGCCGUGGUGGCGCGUUGGGGGCCGAUCAAGGAGGGGGCUCUCCGCAGACGCGCCGGAGUUCGUCGUGACGCAGGGGCUCUACUUGCAGGAUCCCACGGUGGUCGACUACCCUGCGCGCGGCACCGGCGUCUACAUCGGCAAUGCCGUCCCAACGAGGACCUGGAGAAGAUCAAGGGUUAGCAACUACUCGCAACAGGGAAGGUCCAGGUAUUCUUACCGGGUUCAAAGGAUCCACGACAAAGAAUUUGUGAGAAGAACAAUUUAUGUUGCCGAUAUUGAUCACUCUGUCACCGAAGAAAUGUUGGCUGGGCUCUUUGGGAUAUGCGGAGUCGUUGUAGAUUGUCGUCUUAGUGGAGACCCCACUUCUGGAUUUCGCUUUGCAUUCAUAGAGUUUCAGCAUCAGGAGAACCCAGCUAUUGCGCUACAUCUUGAUGGGAUCAUUAUAGGACUUCACCCUCUGAAAGUAGCACCUUCUAGGAAUGCAAUCGCGCCUAUCAAGCAUUCAUUUCUUCCUCGGUCUGAAGAUGAAAAGGAGAGGUCUUCAAGGACAGUAUAUUGCACUAAUAUUGAACAUAUGGUCACUGCCGCCGAGCUAAAGGACUUCUUCGAGAGAUAUUUUGGCUUGGUUUCUCAUGUAAGGCUUUUGGGUCAUAACAACCAUGCCACUCAGAUAGCUUUUAUUGAGUUUGUGGAGGUUAGUGGCGCCAUUAUUGCUUUGAGCUCGAGUGGCAUAUACAUGAGAGGCCUUGCUAUCAGGGUGGUCCCUUCAAAGACACCAAUCAGGACAACCUUCAAUGAUAAUCGGCACCUUGAUCACUAG
This 1023-nucleotide ribosomal RNA is filed under the name Triticum aestivum (bread wheat). RNAcentral describes it as "partial small subunit ribosomal RNA". Lineage: Eukaryota; Viridiplantae; Streptophyta; Magnoliopsida; Poales; Poaceae. The record is from RNAcentral.